GCCUACAAAUGCGCAUUAAGAAGAAUAUUUACAAGAAGAUUAUUGAUUUACCCUUGAUUUUUGCAAAUGCCUCGUCUUAAUUGUUACAUAUUUGGUUCUGGAACUUCUCGAAGAAAUGGACCACAAGACUGCAAAAGAUAUUUGCGUUUUAAUUAAUUCAUAUAAAUGCCAAUCGAAGUCUUUAUUAAAUGGUGACAUUUACAAAAUUUUUUCUGAAAAUAAUUUUAAAUUAAAAAAACUUAUCAUUGGACCUCAAAAUGCAUCUGAUUUUGAAGUAUUCUCCAACAAUAUAAGAUACUUGCAUAAAAAAGAUAAAAAUCUUUAAAAAAAACCCUACCCAGUCAUGGGCUGCUAUUUUUAAUUUUUUGCAGCAACCAUUUAAAUAUGAAAGAAAAAGAAGUAGUUCUAAUACAAAUAUUCACUUAAAUGUUGCAAGUGAUUUAAAUAUUACUUCAGACACAAUGCAGAGAGUAAAAUGUGGUUCAUGCAAAAUAAAAAAAGAUGCAAUACGUAGUUUACAAGAAAAAAACAGAAAAUUGCAGCAGAGAGUUCUUUUUUUGAAAAAAUCAAUGACCUGUAACAAGCUUACAAACAAAAAAUUUAAAAGGCAGUAUUUUUCACUAAAAUUGUGGAAAUUGAAAUAUUCAGAAGAAAAAAAAAAAAAACAGUUCAGCAGAAUAAGUUUCAUUCUCUAGAUUUCAUUAAUGAAUUGAGAAUUCUUAAAAUUAGUAGAACGAAGUUGCAACAAAAUGUUAAAAAGAUAGAAAAGAAACACAAAAUUGCAAUCAAAGAAUUACAGGAACAGAUAAAAAUCAAAGAGCAAGAAAAUAAACAACUUGUAGAACAAUAUCAUUAUUUAACUAGUAUUGUUUUAGAAAAAAAAAAAGAUAAUAGGUUACUUAUAGAAACCAAAAAAUUAAAAACAUAUGACCUACCCAUAAGAAAAUGUGUUUAUGCUGCUAUUAUUAACAAUGCGCCUGUGGAAAGUGUCUCAUUUUUGUUAAAAAAAAUUUCUGAACUAUUACACAACACAGAACUGCAAGAAACACCUCACUCAUCCACAGUAAAUCGAAUGGCAUAUGAGCCAGGUGUUUUAGCAUUGGUUCAGGCUGGUGAGGCACUUUUUCAAAGAAACUGAUGGGGUUGCAGUAACAGUCCUUAAAAAUAUUUCUAAGCUAAGGUAUAGUUUUAAAGGCAAUCCUGCAGCAUUCAAAAGCUAUCUUAAAAAAAACAAUGUUGCUCCAGGGCUAUUCAUUAGAUAUGUUGGUAAUAGAUUUCAUGUUUUGUUCCAUAUGGCAGGGAUUAUUGUUACAUGCGAAAGACUUAUAAAAACCUUUCUUGAAAACAACGCCAAAAAUAAAAUUUGCCAGCUCCUACUUCAAAAUAUGAGUAAUGAUAUAACGCUUGUGCAACUGCAAGGGUUGGGCCUGAUAGGAAAAAUAAUAACUGGGCCAUGGAUGAGUCUGGUUUAUAAAAAUGCAACAGGAAAGUAAUCUUGAGUUUGUAAGUUUUUAAGGUUUUUUAAUAAACAAAUAAAGUAGUUUAUAAAAUGUACAAAAAUUAUUUUUUUAUUAGGGUGACAUUUUCCAGAAAGCAAUAAGGAAAUUAGCUUACUUCAAAAGUAAUCCAGAAUCAAUUCUUUAUACAGAUGUGGAUAUUUUUAGUCAAGUAUUAAAUAUCAAAAAAGAUAAGGUACACCAAUCCCUUCGUGUAAUAAAAAAUAAAACUAUUUUGGUAAAGAUUUUAUCAGCUUUGAUAAGCUACACAGAGACAGUUCUCAAAAGACAGAUGGCCAGGUAUUUGACUGGCAAUCUCUCAAAUCUAUCUAAAGAAAUGAUAAAAGCCACACUAUCUGCUCCACCUCAUACAAUGGAGGCUGAAAGGAUCUUGGGCAUGCUUGAUUUUUUUUUUUGCGUCGUGCUCCUAAUGCUACUUUUGGUUUUUUGGAUUCUAAGAUAAAAGCCAGGGUAAACAAAACAUUAACAUGGCUUGAUGAGAAAACAUUGCCAGAACAAGAAGAUUUUAUUCAAUUUGCAAUUCGCAGAGGAGCUUUAAUGUGUCAAGCCUCUAAAAAUUUUAAUAAUCUUUUGUAUGGAGAAAUAGGAAAAAGAUGCGCCAAGCUAAUUUAAAAAAAGAACGUCUGGAAAAAAAGCAACUAGAGAAGGAUAUUAAAAAAGCAAUAGCUGAAAAUGCCAAAACCACAAAUCCUCUUUUUGUUAAUAUUGAGGAAAAACAAAAACAAAUUUUAGGAGUAAUUUUGAAAAAUGGAAACUUGAUAGGGCAGCUCUUAAGCCAUAAAUAACAGCUAGAUGAUGGUAAUAUACAUUUAUUUUUUGGUAGAAUUGUUGAUCAAAAGGUAGCAACAAAAAAAAAAUCUAUUACAUACACAAUAGUAUAUUGGAAAGUCAACGAAGAUGAAGCUGAAGAUAUUGACAUAAGCCAGGAAGGAGUUAUAGCAGAUCUAAUACUUAAAGACUUGGAGUUCAUUUAAAAAUUACUAUAAUAUAUUAGGCAUUA
Hydra vulgaris (swiftwater hydra) is the source of this 2517-nucleotide long non-coding RNA. RefSeq lists it as uncharacterized. NCBI's taxonomy places the organism in Eukaryota, Metazoa, Cnidaria, Hydrozoa, Anthoathecata, Hydridae. The record is from RefSeq and is a predicted model, not a curated record.